Piliocolobus tephrosceles (Ugandan red Colobus) is the source of this 107-nucleotide small nuclear RNA. Lineage: Eukaryota; Metazoa; Chordata; Mammalia; Primates; Cercopithecidae. The record is from Ensembl.
GUGCUCGCUUCAGCAGCAUAUAUACUAAAAUUGGAAUGAUACAGAGAAGAUUAGCAUGAUCCCUGUGCAAGGAUGAAAUACAAAUUCAUGAAGCAUUCCAUAUUUUU